ACAAUUAUAUAAAAUUUAUUUCCUAAUUCACCUGACCUCAUUAUUCUAUUACUUAUUUUUUACUGAAAAAAUCUAAUUAUAAGUUACUAUAAAUGCAAUUUAGGAAAAUGCAACUAAAAAUGAUCUCUGAAAGAAAACUUGACAUAAAGCAGCCUAACAAAGUGACAGCAUCCUCCCUAUAUUUGUAGCGGUAGAAAGUAUGAGAGGACUACAACGUCUUUCUAUGCAAUACAGCGAGUCCCAAUAAUGCUUUGUUUCUAAAGCCCUCAACAUCGAUUCAAAAGUCGCAUGAAUUUUUGGUUCGUCUUAGGUAGCAUUUACUUUUUAGAUUGAAGUAAGAAUUUUAAGAUUGGGAGUGGAGGUAGAUUGUUUAUUUACACUGAAAUGAAAACAUGAAAUGGAGAUCAAAAUUCAAUUUAUGUGUUUACUUUGUUUUGAAUUGGAAGUAAAUAGUUUCAAAUUAUAAUUUUAUCCUU
Molecule: long non-coding RNA, 476 nt
Filed under: Citrus x clementina
Lineage: Eukaryota; Viridiplantae; Streptophyta; Magnoliopsida; Sapindales; Rutaceae
Description: Citrus clementina (C. clementina) long non-coding RNA (CCLE_LNC000376)
Source: RNAcentral